RNAcentral lists this ribosomal RNA (256 nucleotides) under uncultured bacterium. RNAcentral describes it as "partial 16S ribosomal RNA". It matches the Rfam family "Bacterial small subunit ribosomal RNA", at positions 524 to 776 of the family's 1533-position model. The record is from RNAcentral.
UACGUAGGGUGCAAGCGUUGUCCGGAAUUAUUGGGCGUAAAGAGCUCGUAGGCGGUUUGUCGCGUCGAAUGUGAAAACCCGGGGCUCAACCCCGGGCCUGCAUUCGAUACGGGCAGGCUGGAGUUCGGUAGGGGAGACUGGAAUUCCUGGUGUAGCGGUGAAAAUGCGCAGAUAUCAGGAGGAACACCGGUGGCGAAAGGCGGGUCUCUGGGCCGAUACUGACGCUGAGGAGCGAAAGCGUGGGGGAGCGAACAGG